RNAcentral lists this long non-coding RNA (865 nucleotides) under Homo sapiens (human). Its description in RNAcentral is "HSALNT0084544". The record is from RNAcentral. Lineage: Eukaryota; Metazoa; Chordata; Mammalia; Primates; Hominidae.
CCUAUACUCAGGCCCGCUCCCACACCGUGGAGUGUACUUUCAACACAUCUCUCUGUUUGUUGCUUCAUUCUUUCCUUGCUUUGUGUGUUUUGUCCAAUUCUUGGGAACCUGGACACCCUCCACCAGUAACACUGUGGCCCUUGGGGAACGAGUCAUUAAAAUUUUAACGACAAGUGCAGCUCUUCGAAGGAUAUUCCAGUCAAAGGAAGAGCAUCAAAGAAGAGGUUUUUUGCUUGGGUUACUGGCAAUCAAAGAAUGUGUCACUAACACCUGGACGGGGUUUUGAAGUACUAGCAGGAGUUCCUCAGGUUCACAGAGGAGUGCUAUGAGGGAGGACAGCCAAGUGGAAAAUGGAAGCAACGCUGACAUUCUCCUUCCACCUGAGAGCAAGCCUGACACCAAGAAAGCUGUGGGAAUAGGAGGGAUGGGCCCGGACACCGCCAUCUCCAAACUGCUCAAGAUGUGUCAUCUGCAUAGAUAAACUGGCACACCUGUGGAUGGGACAUCCUUUAAGUAGAUGUUAAACAAGAUCCAAGAUUGGCGUAAUGAGCCUUCAGUGGACUGUCAUGAUUAACUGCGCAUGCUGGCUGGCACACCAGAGAAAGCUGAUGAGUUGGAGGUAAAGUGAGACAAAUAUGGAAAGACAUUCCAGUUGUUUGGGGGAUUUUUGUCACUUCCUCCAGAUGGAUGAUUUUGGGUUUUUGUCCCUGGGUCUUGAUAGAUGUUCUCCACUUAACUUCCCUGAGGUUUCUGGCAGGAUGGAGGGAGGUGAUCUGCAGUCUGUUUCCCUAUUAAAAACCAUUUCCCCGGACUUGAAAAGUUGCCAACUCAGUCGUCUCUGAUUUACUGAUUUCUAACAAGUGUG